CCCUUAGAUGUCCUGGGCCGCACGCGUGCUACACUGACGCCUACAGCGAGCACCUUCCAGCCCCGAGAGGCGGCUGGUAAUCAGCAAUAGGCGUCGUGAUGGGGAUAGAUCUUUGGAAUUAUGGAUCUUGAACGAGGAAUGCCUAGUAAGCGCAGGUCAUUAGCCUGCGCUGAUUAAGUCCCUGCCCUUUGUACACACCGCCCGUCGCUCCUACCGAUUUCGAGUGGUCCGGUGAAUCUUUCGGACUGCGCGCGGCCUUGAGUCGUGUCGCGGAAAGUCAGGUAAACCUUAUCACUUAGAGGAAGGAGAAGUCGUAACA
RNAcentral lists this ribosomal RNA (319 nucleotides) under uncultured eukaryote. RNAcentral's name for it is "partial 18S ribosomal RNA". It matches the Rfam family "Eukaryotic small subunit ribosomal RNA", at positions 1470 to 1796 of the family's 1831-position model. The record is from RNAcentral.